ACAUAACUGAUGCCUCCGCGUAUCGACUUUGUGCGCAUUUUAGCUAUUAUGUGUUCUUUUUAAUUGAAAUGAUUCUUUUUAAGAUUCAUCUAUUAAAAAUUUGCUUCGGCAUAAUUUUUUUUGAUGAUCUUGUUACUUUGAGUAAAUUAGAGUGUUCAAAGCAAACAGAUAUAGCAUUUGUGCGUUUGAAUACUACAGCAUGGAAUAACAAAAUUGAACAAGUCAGAAUUUUUUUGUUCUUUUUUCUUAUUUUGGCUUAGUUACGAUUAAUAGGAGUAGCUUGGGGGCAUUUGUAUUCAGAUGUCAGAGGUGAAAUUCUUAGAUUUUCUGGAGACAAACAACUGCGAAAGCAUUUGCCUAAAAUACUUCCAUUAAUCAAGAACGAAAGUUAAGGGAGUGAAGACGAUCAGAUACCGUCGUAAUCUUAACCAUAAACUAUGCCGACUAGGCUUUGGAUGAAAGAUUUUAAAAUAAGAGUUUUUCUUUUCUCUCCGGAGAUUAGAACUCUUAGAUUGCUUCCUUCAGUGCCUUAUGAGAAAUCAAAGUCUUUGGGUUCUGGGGCGAGUAUUCGCGCAAGCGAGAAAGUUAAAAGAAUUGACGGAAGGGCACCACCAGGCGUGGAGCUUGCGGCUUAAUUUGACUCAACACGGGAAAACUCACUAGUUUAAGACAAGAGUAGGAUUGACAGAUUAAUAGCUCUUUCUUGAUUUCUUGGAUGGUGAUGCAUGGCCGUUUUUAGUUCGUGAAUAUGAUUUGUCUGGUUAAUUCCGAUAACGAACGAGAUCUUAACCUGCUAAUUAGCGGCAAAUACGAUAUAUUCUUAUGUAGAAUUGAAUAUAGUGGAUUUGUUAGAUUUUGAAGAAAAUAUUGGAAUUACGUUAAAUGUGAUUCCUUUCCCUUUUCUACUUAAUUUUAACAUUUCCAUCUAUUUCUUUUUUGCGUAUGAAUGUAUUUGCUUGAUUGUAAAGCUUCUUAGAGGAACGAUGUGUG
This 990-nucleotide ribosomal RNA is filed under the name Plasmodium knowlesi. RNAcentral describes it as "SSU rRNA". It matches the Rfam family "Eukaryotic small subunit ribosomal RNA", at positions 638 to 1428 of the family's 1831-position model. Lineage: Eukaryota; Apicomplexa; Aconoidasida; Haemosporida; Plasmodiidae. The record is from RNAcentral.